Molecule: microRNA precursor, 69 nt
Filed under: Glossina austeni
Lineage: Eukaryota; Metazoa; Arthropoda; Insecta; Diptera; Glossinidae
Also listed under: 4 other names
Description: lin-4 microRNA precursor
Rfam family: lin-4 microRNA precursor family
About the family: The extents of the hairpin precursors are not generally known and are estimated based on hairpin prediction. The products are thought to have regulatory roles through complementarity to mRNA. The involvement of Dicer in miRNA processing suggests a relationship with the phenomenon of RNA interference.
Source: RNAcentral
GCUGAUUCCCUGAGACCCUAACUUGUGACUUAUCACUUGAGUUUCACAAGUUUUGAUCUCCGGUAUUGG